GGACUUGAGGGCGAUCUUGCUGCGACACAUAUCACCCCACUGAUCGUCAGUAUUGAUUUGGCUGCUCUGGUUGGCUAGACGAGUGUCCCCUUCCUCCCUCACUGCCCCAUGUGCGUCCCUCCCAAAGUUGCACGCUCUGUUGAAGAGGACCACUGUCCGCGAUAGAGAAGGACUGUUUCCUUGGUCAAGGGUGCACAAGUGGCUGCACUCCACUGCUAGAACUUCCACACAAGCUCUCAAAGUAAGGAAUAACACUCUUAACAGAGCAAGAAAGACUACAAACUGACU
Molecule: small nuclear RNA, 288 nt
Filed under: Chinchilla lanigera (long-tailed chinchilla)
Lineage: Eukaryota; Metazoa; Chordata; Mammalia; Rodentia; Chinchillidae
Description: 7SK RNA (ENSCLAG00000021567.1)
Rfam family: 7SK RNA
About the family: 7SK was discovered as an abundant small nuclear RNA in the mid-70s but a possible function has only recently been suggested. Two independent studies have found that 7SK RNA binds the CDK9/cyclin T complex (known as elongation factor P-TEFb). P-TEFb activates transcription by phosphorylating the C-terminal domain of RNA polymerase II.
Source: Rfam by way of RNAcentral